AGCUCCAAUAGCGUAUAUUAAAGUUGUUGCAGUUAAAAAGCUCGUAGUUGAAUUUUGAAUAUAAUUUUAAAGAGAUCACACGGGAUGUGUUGUAUUUCUUUGUUAUAUUUUUUUAUUAAUUGUUUCCCGGAGAGAUUAUUGAUUUAAUUUUUUUGGGGUUUAUAAACAUUAAUUUAUUUACUUUGAGAAAAUUAGAGUGUUUAAAGCAGGCUUUGUAUUGAUGCCUUGAAUACUACAGCAUGGAAUAAUGAAAUAAGACUUUGCGCUUAUUUUGUUGGUUUCUAAGCGUCAGAGUAAUGAUUAAUAGAAAUAGUUGGGGGUAUUCAUAUUUUAUUGUCAGAGGUGAAAUUCUUGGAUUUAUGAAAGAUGAACUUUUGCGAAAGCAUUUAUCAAGGAUGUU
RNAcentral lists this ribosomal RNA (400 nucleotides) under phytoplankton environmental sample. RNAcentral describes it as "partial small subunit ribosomal RNA". It matches the Rfam family "Eukaryotic small subunit ribosomal RNA", at positions 587 to 968 of the family's 1831-position model. The record is from RNAcentral.